CAGUCGCCACGGUAAUACAGAGGGUGCGAGCGUUAAUCGGAUUUACUGGGCGUAAGCGUGCGCAGGCGGUUAUAUAAGACAGAUGUGAAAUCCCCGGGCUCAACCUGGGAACUGCAUUUGUGACUGUAUAGCUAGAGUACGGCAGAGGGGGAUGGAAUUCCGCGUGUAGCAGUGAAAUGCGUAGAUAUGCGGAGGAACACCGAUGGCGAAGGCAAUCCCCUGGGCCUGUACUGACGCUCAUGCACGAAAGCGUGGGGAGCAAACAGGAUUAGAUACCCCGGUAGUCCCUGUCUCUUAUACA
RNAcentral lists this ribosomal RNA (301 nucleotides) under uncultured bacterium. RNAcentral's name for it is "partial 16S ribosomal RNA". It matches the Rfam family "Bacterial small subunit ribosomal RNA", at positions 509 to 808 of the family's 1533-position model. The record is from RNAcentral.